AGAGUUUGAUCAUGGCUCAGGAUGAACGCUGCGGCGUGCUUAACACAUGCAAGUCGAACGGACUUUAUAUGAAGCCUAGCGAUUAUAAAGUUAGUGGCGGACGGGUGAGUAACGCGUGAAUAACCUGCCCCUGUACCGGGGGACAACAGUUGGAAACGGCUGCUAAUACCGCAUAAGCGCACGGUUCCGCAUGGAACAGUGUGAAAAACUCCGGUGAUACAGGAUGGAUUCGCGUCUGAUUAGCCAGUUGGUGGGGUAAUGGCCUACCAAAGCAACGAUCAGUAGCCGGCCUGAGAGGGUGAACGGCCACAUUGGGACUGAGACACGGCCCAAACUCCUACGGGAGGCAGCA
This 352-nucleotide ribosomal RNA is filed under the name uncultured bacterium. Its description in RNAcentral is "bacterial SSU rRNA". It matches the Rfam family "Bacterial small subunit ribosomal RNA", at positions 8 to 353 of the family's 1533-position model. The record is from RNAcentral.